Molecule: long non-coding RNA, 862 nt
Organism: Oxyura jamaicensis (ruddy duck)
Lineage: Eukaryota; Metazoa; Chordata; Aves; Anseriformes; Anatidae
Exons: 3
Source: RefSeq, a predicted model, not a curated record
CCCAGAGCAGGGAUCCACUAAGCUCACUUUGAGAAAGCCCUCUUUCUUGGGAUAGCAUCAUGCAAUGACACAGUUUUUGCAAGCUUCCAAAACUUCAUGAUCUCUGAGAAGAUGAUGAACAGAACACAGCAAAACCCGAACAAGCAUCUACCUUAUUUCUUGGAGUACUAAGUCUACUAUGUUUUUAGCUUCCAAAAUUCAAGAAGAUGCGUCUGUGCCAUAGCAAGAGCACCUAUCUAAAUAUCAAAGCCCAGUUUUGCUGAAUUCAAAAUAUACACAUUAUGUUGUCUGAAAAGACUGAAAGAGAUCUGCAAAGACCAUGAAAUUCAGAAUGGUGCUGGAAAGCAUCUGAUAAAUAGGUAAACUCUAAGUCCAGCUCACCUCCAAGCACUGCAUCUUUGAAGAACAUUUUCUGAAGUAAUAACUUGUUUUUCUCACCUAAAUAGAUAUGAAUUGUUGACACUGAAGAAAAAGAAGUGUCAAAUAAGAAGCUACUGCUUUUUACAGCUGCUUUUUUUUUAGUGCAAACUAUUAACUUUUGGUUUUCCAUCUACAUUUGCUGGAUACAUCCCUGGAAAAACACACACUCAUAUUGGUGACUAUAAAAAAGGUGAUACGAGGUUCUUCUAAAACUUUACAGUCUUUCAGAAAAAAAAACUUUCAUCCAGAGAGGAUGUGAAUUACUUCAUAACACAGCACUUCAACAUAGCGGUGUGUAUUUCCAGUUGUAUCUACCUAUUACCAAAUAUAUUUAAUAUUACUACCUGCCUAUAUGGGACCAAUAGUGUUGCACUACUUUUCAGUGUAAAUGUUUAAAUUCCAAUGAUCUUGCGAGACAUUAAACAACUGGUAUAGCAAAAAA